RNAcentral lists this long non-coding RNA (766 nucleotides) under Monodelphis domestica (gray short-tailed opossum). Its description in RNAcentral is "lncRNA (ENSMODG00000035711.2)". The record is from RNAcentral. Lineage: Eukaryota; Metazoa; Chordata; Mammalia; Didelphimorphia; Didelphidae.
UCAAAUUAGAGUUCAUUUGGAAAUGGGGUUACAAAAUCCUUACAACAAUGACACUAGCGUGUAUGGAGCAGGGAGCAGAUGAGAGCUCUGGGCAACCUCGACGUCAGCUUUUGGAAAAAGACAAAUUCCACACACACACAUAUACGCACACCUAGAUGCAGAACGUCUACCAUUCCCCAAUGAAAUGUAAACAAGAAGGCAAGUAACACCCUAAGAAGUUUGCAGAAGUUUCAUGAUCAUAAAUAGGACUGUUUCAGGCUCUGCGGUCAGUCGUUUGAUUCCGGGUGUCUCCAUGGAUUCCGACUUCUUUUCGUUCUGCUCGCUAACUCAGGUGCAUGAGUCAGCAUUUGGAGUAUGAAUUUUUAAGCGGAACCUUGAAGAGUGCAUCCUGCUUUUCAUACCAGGUGAAGAAGAUUUUAAAAUGGCUGCUGUAAAAUGCAUACAAAAGGGUAGCCCAGAUGAUUCUGGUCUCUUCUUUUUUCCUCUGGGUUGUCUUGAUUAAGGGAGAGUUUCCUAGGACCUUACCCUCCAAACCUGGAACAACAUGUAAGUCAGAUCAGAUGCCAUUGAACCAUUUUUCUCCAUCCUUCUUUGAUGAUCUUUGUAUUGGUGACCAAUAGAAGAUUGAAGGAAAGAAGUCAGAGAUGGAAUUGGUUCAUUAUAUCAUUAAACAGAUCAUACUAUGAAGGCACCUGAAGCAUUGGUGCUUGGAACUCCUUUUCUGGUUCUUUCAAUUAAUAAAGAUUUUUUUAAGCAACUAUUUUCA